GGGGCUGACUUGGAUUUCGACAGAUUUCUUGUCGCACAGAUAGCAUGCCAAGCGCUACUUGUAAAACAGCAACAAAAAUAACUGUAAACAACGCAGAUUACGCUCCAGCUUACGCUAAAGUUGCGUGAGUUAAUCUCCUUUUGGAGCUGGACUGAUUAGAAUUUCUAGCGUUUUAAUCACUCCAUAAUCUUAAGCUAGACGCUUUUAAAAGGUGGUUCGCCUUUUAAACUAAGAAACAAGAACUCUUGAAACUACCUCAAGGUUUUAGAAAGUUGGACCAGAGCUAGUUUUAAGGCUAAAAAGCUAACCAAUUUUCUAAGCAUUGUAGAAGUUUGUGUUUAGGGCAAGAUUUUUGGACUGGGGUUCGAUUCCCCACAGCUCCACCA
Molecule: transfer-messenger RNA, 386 nt
Filed under: Helicobacter pylori
Lineage: Bacteria; Pseudomonadati; Campylobacterota; Epsilonproteobacteria; Campylobacterales; Helicobacteraceae
Rfam family: transfer-messenger RNA
About the family: Bacterial tmRNA, also known as 10Sa RNA or SsrA, is named for its dual tRNA and mRNA-like properties. Its role is to liberate the mRNA from a stalled ribosome.
Source: RNAcentral